GCAGAUGGGUAUCAAGCCAACUUGUUAAGGACUACUUCACACAAGUUAAACAUGACUAUACUAUCCUCCUAUCUUAAUUGCACUCAAGUUCGGGUUAGAACUUAUCUCACCACUCAGAGAUCACCAAGCACAACAAGCAGAUUAUAUCACACAAACAAAUAUACAAUCAUAAUCACACAAAAAGUAGGCUAAACCCACUGGAGACUAC
Molecule: long non-coding RNA, 208 nt
Filed under: Lathyrus oleraceus (garden pea)
Lineage: Eukaryota; Viridiplantae; Streptophyta; Magnoliopsida; Fabales; Fabaceae
Description: Pisum sativum (pea) long non-coding RNA (PSAT_LNC032563)
Source: RNAcentral